GACGAACGCUGGCGGCGUGCCUAAUACAUGCCAGUAGAACGCUGAAGAGAGGAGCUUGCUCUUCUUGGAUGAGUUGCGAACGGGUGAGUAACGCGUAGGUAACCUGCCUGGUAGCGGGGGAUAACUAUUGGAAACGAUAGCUAAUACCGCAUAAAAUGGAUUAUCGCAUGAUAAUCCAAUGAAAGGUGCAAAUGCAUCACUACCAGAUGGACCUGCGUUGUAUUAGCUAGUUGGUGGGGUAACGGCUCACCAAGGCGACGAUACAUAGCCGACCUGAGAGGGUGAUCGGCCACACUGGGACUGAGACACGGCCCAGACUCCUACGGGAGGCAGCAGUAGGGAAUCUUCGGCAAUGGACGGAAGUCUGACCGAGCAACGCCGCGUGAGUGAAGAAGGUUUUCGGAUCGUAAAGCUCUGUUGUAAGAGAAGAACGAGUGUGAGAGUGGAAAGUUCACACUGUGACGGUAUCUUACCAGAAAGGGACGGCUAACUACGUG
RNAcentral lists this ribosomal RNA (497 nucleotides) under uncultured bacterium. Its description in RNAcentral is "partial 16S ribosomal RNA". It matches the Rfam family "Bacterial small subunit ribosomal RNA", at positions 28 to 507 of the family's 1533-position model. The record is from RNAcentral.